GUGUCAGCCGCCGCGGUAAUACGGAGGGUGCGAGCGUUAAUCGGAAUUACUGGGCGUAAAGGGUGCGUAGGUGGUUGAUUAAGUUAUCUGUGAAAUUCCUGGGCUCAACCUAGGGUGGUCAGAUAAUACUGGUUGACUUGAGUAUAGUAGAGGGUAGUGGAAUUUCCGGUGUAGCGGUGAAAUGCGUAGAUAUCGGAAAGAACACCGGUGGCGAAGGCGGCUACCUGGACUAAUACUGACACUGAGGCACGAAAGCGUGGGGAGCAAACAGGAUUAGAUACCCUGGUAGUCCACGCUGUAAACGAUGUCAACUAGCUGUUGGUUAUAUGAAUAUAAUGAGUGGCGCAGCUAACGCGAUAAGUUGACCGCCUGGGGAGUACGGUCGCAAGAUUAAA
Molecule: ribosomal RNA, 395 nt
Filed under: uncultured bacterium
Lineage: Bacteria
Description: bacterial SSU rRNA
Rfam family: Bacterial small subunit ribosomal RNA
Source: RNAcentral